UACGUAGGGGGCAAGCGUUAUCCGGAUUUACUGGGUGUAAAGGGAGCGUAGACGGAAUUGCAAGUCUGACGUGAAAAUCCGGGGCCCAACCCCGGAACUGCAUUGGAAACUGUAUUUCUAGAGUGUCGGAGAGGCAAGUGGAAUUCCUGGUGUAGCGGUGAAAUGCGUAGAUAUCAGGAGGAACACCAGUGGCGAAGGCGGCUUGCUGGACGAUGACUGACGUUGAGGCUCGAAAGCGUGGGGAGCAAACAGG
This 253-nucleotide ribosomal RNA is filed under the name uncultured bacterium. RNAcentral describes it as "partial 16S ribosomal RNA". It matches the Rfam family "Bacterial small subunit ribosomal RNA", at positions 524 to 776 of the family's 1533-position model. The record is from RNAcentral.